This 117-nucleotide ribosomal RNA is filed under the name Neogale vison (American mink). The record is from RNAcentral. Lineage: Eukaryota; Metazoa; Chordata; Mammalia; Carnivora; Mustelidae.
GUCUACGGCCAUACCACCCUGAAUGCGCCUGAUCUCAUCUGAUCUCGGAAGCUAAGCAGGGUCGGGCCUGGUUAGUACUUGGAUGGGAGAUUUCAAAAAACAGGAAAUUUGUGUUUG